Molecule: long non-coding RNA, 10658 nt
Filed under: Equus caballus (horse)
Lineage: Eukaryota; Metazoa; Chordata; Mammalia; Perissodactyla; Equidae
Description: lncRNA (ENSECAG00000058150.1)
Source: RNAcentral
CUUAUGCUUCUGAAAUUUUCAGGGGAUGUACAGUUUUUUCUAAAUGUUUUGCAUCAGCUUGUGGUCUCAAAUUUGAUUUAUCUAACUUCAGAUUUUAAAACAGAUUGACAACUCUGAUUAUACAUCGUCUUCACUAAACGGACCUUUGCUGAGUUUUGUAUUGUGUUCAUCCCCACCCCACACUCUGCUGUUGCCAUGGGAGCCGAAAUCCUGGCAUGGUUAGCUCCGCCCCCAAGUGGCUCUGUCUCCCAGAGUGCUUUGCUGUUACUAUGGAAAUGCCUGCCUAUUAAUCUUGCUGUCCUUUUACUACCAAAGCACCUUUAACUGUCUCAAGCAAUCAAGUGAUGUUACCUACAGCAGGGAAAGGAAGGAGAAGACGGCCUCCCAUUCUCCAGCUGAAGCGCUGAUUUUAAUCAAGAUUUAAUCAAGGAGCAGAAGAAUGGACUCCCCCAAACUGCUCACCGUGCAGACUUGAUCUAAGCAUGGACACUGUUCUCUCCGAUUGCCUUAAAGAUGCAGCUAAGACCAGUCAGUGGUGUUGGCCAAAGAUAUAGUGGAAGUUUGGCAUGUAUAGAAGUGGGUACUGAGAAUGAUCUACUCUUCCACUGUGGUUGUCACUCCAAGAGCUCACAAACCCUAAAGCCAACUCCAGAGUCCCUGCCUUACUCUCAGGUGGCUCCAGUGUAAUGGUGAGAGGGACUCUUCUUGCACUCUGCUUUCCACCACCUUUGAUGGGAAUCUCUACACUGCUUUACCCCAUAGUCACGGGCUCCUAAUCCUCUGGCCCAGAUAGUGAAAAUGGUCCUUUCCUCCCAAAAUUCAAGGCCCAUUUUUCUUCCACCGGCAUGACUGAGAGUGGAAACAGCCAGGACCUUCAGCGGAAUCAUUCACACUCACUCACAGGUUGCAAUCUGACCUCCAGGCCCCAGACAGGGCUAUCACAGAACAGACAGCACAUUUCCCAAAGUCUGGGUUGUUCAUUCUUCAUUAACUCUGUGGCAGAUACAAUGCCACAUAGUCUCCAAAUUCCAUUUCAUUUUCCUGUUCCUGGGCACGCGAGAAGAUGACAUUUCUCAGAGUCACUUGUAGGUGGGCUGGAACCAUACAUCCAGUCUGGCCAAUGGGAUACAAGUGUGGUCUUCUUGGAUGAGACAGUGAAAAGUCCUUGUACAACCCUCCGUCUCUCUUUUCCCCUGCCACAGUGGUCACAGAAUUAAGUUUUCCAGAUAUAAAUGGCCUGAUUCCUUGAGUCACUUCCUGUGAGAGAAUUGCCCUAGAGCUCCUGCUAUUUCAGUCAGUGUGCUGGGUUCGAAGGCAUACCGUCCUGCCCUCCUGAUCUUAAGAAUUAUUUCACAUUAAAGAGUUUGGAAUUCAUCUUAAGAGCAACCACGAGAGCUUGAAGGAGUUUAAGCCAUGAUACAAUAUUCUUCUUAGAAAGAUCUCUGUAAAAGACAUGAGAGAAAAAAGUUUGAGGGGAAAGACUAGAGGCGGUAAUCCAGGGACGAGCUGGUGACGGCCUGAACUAGUGUGGUGGCAGCAAAAAUAAGUGGAGAUUGGAGAUGCAGUUGGAGCGAGAGAAAUGAAUGGGUGUAACAGGUACAAACCACGUGCACAUGGAAAUUUAAAUUCCUGUUAAAUAUUUUUUUCCGGAAGACUGCUUUAUAGGAAUCUGUACUCAUUUUUACAAUUUGCAAAUAAUGUUUCAAAAUAACCAAAAAAGAAACAGCCUUAGCUCUACACGGGCACCGCAGCUCUCUCGGUGGCACGAAGCCUCAGGUUGCAACUGCUCUCCAGUGUUCAGAAUCACCUGCUGGACACUUCCUUCUUCACAGCUUAGGCAGAUCCCUGCCUCUGACACAGAAGAGCCUGAAAACUCAAAAGGGUGGGAAAAACUGCAUGGGGGCUGCCAAGAAUUGCAUGAUCUUCAAAUAGAAAAACUGUCUUCAAAUCUCUCUCUCUCCUCUUCUUGCUUAUUAAACAGAAAGCUCUCUAUCUCUCCAAUCACCAGCCGCAGCUCUCCCCUUAGCACUUGUCCUUCUCAGAAGAUCCACACAGGGCGGCUCCUCUGGCCUCAUGAUAGAAGUUAAGACUCAGAUGUCAAAGUCUAUGAUUUAGAGGAGUUUGAGGAUUCACCACUUCCCAUUGACAUGACCCUCACCUUGGUCUCACCUUCUCAGGAUAAUUGAGUCCCCCAUCUCCCUCCUUUAUCACACCGGCAAACCUAAACCUUUCUCCUUACACAGUCGUAAUACUUAAUUACAUCUUUAAAAUUAACUCCCCUUUGAGAUAGUGUUGUUUUGUUUUAUUUCACUCUUCUAAAUAAUUUAUAAAGUAGCCUCAUGGAAAGUAAAAUGUAUGGUUGCAUUCUAAAGCUUAUUUUGUAAUAUUUUUAUUCCUUAAUUACUUUUUAAUUUUGAUUUUGGAAAUGGAAAUCAACUACGGUCGAAAUAAUAGUUGAUUAGGAAACUUCCGGCAAAGCAUGAGGAGAGACUGAGAGACAAGCAAUAACAGACCAUACAUUUUCUUUGUCACCUCAUGGUUAGCGAGGAUGCAUUUCAGGCCAAGGUUGAAGACAAACCUUAAGACCCCCGACUUUUACUCUGUUGGUCGUGCAGCAGACACCUCUGAUGCUCUAUGCCAAGUUCCACCUGCCCAUUUCUGAUUUCAGCCACAGCCAUGGUGGACGUUUCCCAUGGGAGCCAGACUCACCGCACCGUGGCAACAUGCCACCUCACUGUGCUGCACAUCUUUCCUCUUUCUGCCUCAGGACCUUCUCCCAUGCCCCUGGAGCCUGUUCAGCCACAUAACACACGCGAGCUGGGGUUAACAUCGCUGGAGACAAUCUUCGGCAAAUAGGAGAAGGAGCUGGUGGAUAACUGCCCCAAUGGCCCAUCCUGCAGGUGGACAGCUCUAGGAGGCCUUCUAUCUGCCUCUCAGAGGACUUGUGUCCCAUCGCCCCCCACGGCAAUUUCAGUAACACACGCUUAUAUCAGCUCUUUGUCCUGCCCUCUUUCCUUCCUCCUACUCCCCUGUUGUUGUUUCUGGCAUCUAUAACUUCACUCUAGGGUUUUGCUUUGAUGGAGAACCCACAUUAAGAAAGCUGACUUGCUUGCUUUUAAGAAUUAAGGGCCUUAGGAGGAGAAUGGGUGAUUUUAGGAGGUAUCAUCAACUGAAUUUAGUGAGUGAUUAGAUCAGAAAGGGGAAAGGCGUGGGAAGGGAGGAACAAAUGUAGCACCCCAUCAACAAUAUCAGUUGUUGUCAUACAGUCGAGGCAGUUCCUAACCAUCUGGCUUGGCUUAUCUGCACUCCUCGUGUAUAAAGGCUGGCCCCAGGCAGGGCGCUAAAGAGAGUAAGACAUACCCUUUCACGGUGCUGCUAGGGGGUCCCUACUCUCCAUCUUCCCCUCCCAAUUCCAUUGCAGAACAUUCAAGGGCCAUCUCAAAAGCCCUGUAUCCUGCUCUUCACCUGGCUUCUGAGAAUUUCUGGUGAUAAUGAAUAAAAAGAGAAGGGAAAAGAAAAAGACCAGGAGCAGGUUAGAGAGGAAAGCGAACGAAGGAAAGGGAAUGAAGUGGAGAGGAUUAGGAUGGGAGGAGACGGGGUGGAUAAAUGGCUGUCACAUCUCUGUGUCCUCUGCACUGCAGGGCCUAAGUCACUCCCAGUGUUCCUCCGCACCAGUCUACUCUCCCUUGGAAAUGCACAACGUGUCUCAAAUGUUUUCCUACCAGUGAAGGUCUGGGUUAAAAUACAGAGCAAUGCUCAGCCAGUGAGCCUGGAUUGCCUGAGGAUGAGCAUCCCUCAUAUCUAGUGCUCAUCCAAUGAACAUCUGUUGAGCACCUGUACCUAACAGGUUCUGUGCUAGGCACCAGGGGCUACAAAAUGAAUAAAGCUCAAGAAACUGCCAUCUGAUCAAGGAGCUAGACUUUUAAAAAUAAUUACAGCCCCUUCCUGUAAGACCAUUUCUAAAAGUACAAAGUAAAGUAGUAGCGUAUCAGUCAUGGUGUUUUUGGCUACUAAUAGGAGAAAAUCUGACUAAGAAUGCCUUAAAUGAUAAGAAAUUUAUUAUCUCAUCAAAAAGAAGUUCAGGGUAGGCUAGUUCAGUGACUCAACAACUCAUCAAAAACUCAGAUUAUUUCUACCUUUCCAUUUGGUCUCGCUCAGCAUGUUAAUUAUUGUCCUUAUGGUUGACUGUAACGGUCACAAGAUUGCUGCUACAGCUCCAGGCAUCACAUCCUCACACAGCUGCACUCACACAGAAGCAGGAAAAGAACAGUUUCUCUUAACAUGUCUUUCUUUUAAUAAGAAAGGAAAAUUGUUCCAGAAGUCCCCCAGCAGACUUCCCCUUAAGUCUUAUUGGCCAGAAUUGUAUCUCAAGUCCACGCUUAAAUGAAUCACUUGGAGGGUCUGCCUGGUGGUACAUUGGUUAAGUGCACACAUUCUGCUUCGGCUGCCUGGAGUUGGCCGGUUCAGAUCCCAGGUGUGGACAUGGCACUGCUUGGCAAGACAUGCUGUGGCAGGCCUCCCACAUAGAAAGUAGAGGAAGAUAGGAACGGAUGUUAGCUCAGGGCCAGUCUUCCUCAGCAAAAAGAAGAGGAUUGGCAGCAGAUGUUAGCUCGGGGCUGAUCUUCCUCAAAAAAGAAAAAAAUGGAUCACUUGGAGAGAAAUUUGAGUCCCUGAUUAAUUCUGACCAAUGAUGCAUUGGUCACCUUUUAGAGCAUUUUAGCUCCAACCCAGACCCUCUUUCUUCUCCCAGCUCAGCCAAGAACCACGUCUGUCUUUCAUGUCAAAGAGGCAGCAGGUGCCGUCAAUCCCACCUAGGCUAAUCAUUGGCUGAGGUACCUAAGCCAGAGUUGAGGCCCCAGCUCAAAUUUGUCCACUGCAGGAGGGUGUAAAUUGUUUUCUUUUUAAGUAUAGAAGUAAUUAAUAACAACCUUUAAAGUUUUAUUUAACUUCAUACAAAACUCAGUACCUCUCAAACAGUUGACAAGUGUCAAUAGAGAGCAACAACAAAAAAGAAACAAAAAGAAAUCCACAGUGAUCUCAGAGUGGAUAUUUGGUGACGCUGUCAUUGACCCUCCUUUAGAGAAACAUGGGCUCCUAGGAAGGCAGAACAACCCAGGGCUCUCCGAGCCAGCACGUGCUGAGGAAGAGCCCAUCAGAGAAAAAGAGAAAGGAAAAUUCAUACCAAGUCCUCACACUGUUCCUCUUGAAUAGAAAACGGUACAAAGAUGAAAAGAGAGAAGGCAGCCGGCAAAGCCUCGUCACCUACGGCCCUGCUAAAUAGAAAACACAGAGACUCGCCACAGGGCAGCUCCAUAAAGCCACUCUGGAUGCCGUUUUGCUAAUUGUGUUUGCUAUGACACCAAGCGCUGCUUAGCUGGGCUCCCAGAGUGUCUCCAUAAUGGCAAUCACUUGCCAGGAGCGAGAGUGAUUUUUAUUUGAUAUCCAUACAAAGCAGAAGCAAAUGAAUUACCAUAAUGAGAAGCAACAUAAUGAUGUAGAGAUGUACAAACUGCCAUUGUGUUUAAUAACAACAAAGCCUUCCCUUUUGAAUUAAAUUUGCGGGAAGAUUCUUAGUGAAGCAUCAUUGUAGUGAAACCAAGUUGUUUAAAAAAAAAAACGAAAAAACCCACUCCAAAGUAUUUCAGGCCCAUGAUGACUGGAAAGGUUGUUAGGAGAAUUUUUUUCUUCAAUUUUGAUUCUCAGUAAAAUCGACUUUAUUGUAGCACUACACAGCUGCGAUUUGUGAAGUAAAUGGCAAAGCUAAAUGUGCCGAAACCCGACACGUUCCCUGAGCAACAAAGGGAUGGAAGGCAAAUGUUACAGUAUUAUUGACAACACUGGUAAUGCUUGUAUAAGCAUCUGCUUCAUAAAGGGGAAAAACCUACAUUAUAAACAAAAGGAGUUUCCAAGCGAGGUCUGCCAACUCAAAUUGUGGCUUUGAUCUGAAUUUUCACUUGUUAGAUCAAAUAUUUCCUCUUUUUACCUUUUCCAUCCAAAGUAAAAAAAAUUCUCUGAUCCUGGAAACCUCCCUGUAACUGACUCAUUUUUUUUCUUUCUCUAAAAUUGUUUCCUACCUGUUCUGGUAUUUACCUGUUUCCCACCAGCUGACGUUUGACAACGGAUGAAGACACCACUGAUUAGCACGGCAUCAAUUUACAUCUGUUCCCAUGAUCAUGAUGAGGGCAUUGUCCUCCUCUUAGACGGAGUCCAGUGUGUGAAGGGAAUGUGUCCUUCCCCCACCUCGACCUGCCUCAACGCUUUCAAUGCUGCUAUUUGUAUCCAUUUUAUAAUAGAACAUUCUGGUUUCAUUAAUGGACAAACCCAGAGCCAGACCAUGGCUUGCACUAGAUUGAGCUAGACUGGAGCAAAAUCUGAAGAGCAAUCUUAGGGGACUAGAUGUCAAGCGCCUCUGGUCCCCGGGUUCAGCUCCCCACUGAAUGUGACGGAGGAAAGUCGACUUCUUUGUGUCUGUCUCAGUUUUCCCAGCUGUUAAAUAGGCACAAUAUCUGCUCCCUCCACAUCAUAGGAGUGUCUUGAGAAUCAAAUCAUAUUCCAGUAUUUUGUUAACUGUUAUUGCUAUGUCCAUGAGAGACAAUGGGAGGUCUUUUAGUAAACCCAAAACGCAUCCAGAGAAUCAUAUAACUUAUAAGGAUCUAUAUUUUGGGGUUUGUCAUUUUAUCAUCCAACAAAUAUUUCCUGAGGUCCUAUUCAAUGCAAGGCACAAUCCUCAGGGCUGUGGGAAAAAAUAUGAUGCCUGCCCUGGAGGGGUUAUAAACAAAGUGAGCGAGAAGGCACGCCCAUAUAAAAAGAUGACUGGAGACAGAGCCCAUAUCUAAAUACCAAAUGGGAGAUGGUAUUAUAACCCAGGGAUUGGGGGUGCAGGCAUGGGCAUCACAUUUUCUGGGUCUGAAGCCCGGCUCUGUCACUGACUAACCAUGUGUCCUUGGGCAAGUUACUUAACCUCUCUAUGCCUCAGUUUCCUCAUCUGUGAAAUGGGGAUAAGAAUAGCACCUACCUUAUAAGCUUAUUGUGAGGAAUAAAUGUAUUACUAUAUCAAUAAUUCUCAGAACAGUGCCUGGCACAUACAUAGGACACACUUAAUGAAUGUUUGCUGAACAUAAAGAUACCUUGUGGUACAACAACCAAGAGGGAGAGAGAGCACUAAAGAUUACGGUCAAGUGGCUCUGGUGUCCUGAUCUGGGGGUGGAAGGUUGGGAAGGGCCAGCGGAGGUGGAGUGAAGGGAUGAGGGAUUAGACAGGAGAGGAUUCCAGACAGGUCAAACGGCCUGCACAAAGGCUCACAGCCAGGUUCGCAUGAGGCACAUUUGGGGUAGAAUGAAGAGAAGGGUCAGAGUUUCCUAGUGGAAACAGUGGGGGCAGGGCGGGGGUGGGGGCGCUGUAAGUAGGGAUCUAGGUGGGAUAGCUCAUCUCCGCCUGCAUCUCCGGGGCCAAAAGCUGGAGUGAGUAAAGGGGCCGUAUUUCAAAGCUGCCAGCAAAGUCUCUUUCUCUACAGACAAUGGCUUGAAUGUACCUUUGAAAGUGUAUUGCUUUUGAGUUUUGGAGGGAGAAACAGAGCACUUUAAUGAGCUUUUGGUCCUACAAAGAUAAAUCUAAAUACACCAUUUCUGAAAGUGUUCCUUCACAAUGACAUGCUAAACUGCUUUGCACGAUAACCUUAAGGCCAUCCCAUCAGGCUUGCACGAAAUUCCCAGGAUUCUACCCACAGACACCUAGAGAGGAACGGGGAGAGAAAAGGACACAGGGAGAGAGAGAAAAACUAGCUAGAAAGCGUGGACACUUCUGCCUCAGGAGCAGGUAGGAACUGCGAUUCGCCUUUUCUCUCCACGGUUUUCAGCCCCUGUGCCUUAAGCAGUAUGAGCAUCUCACCACGGAAAAUGGGAUUCUGAAGUUAAAAUAAACCUUAAACCCAGACCAGCUACUUCCUCUGGUGUUCUGCUGAGGAAAUCGUGGCCUCUACUAGGCUUACAGAGAAAAGUGCGUCCACCUACAAUGCGGCUCUCCUCUAGUGGUCUCCAAAGUUAAUUUCUUACACAAAUUCUGCCUUACACAGUAACUUUAGAACUUAAUCCCCAGGAAAGAUUCGGCUCUACUGUACAGAAGAUUGUUUUUAUUGUGGGUAGAAUUUAUCACAACAGAUUACGUUUCUGUGGGAGGGGCUAGUGGAGACCAGGUAUGAGGAGGAAUGUGGAUCCUCUUCAGCCAUGUCUUUUGGGGGCUCAUAUGUGUGGCCUGAACUUCAGAGAGGGGAGACAGCAGAGGUCUGUCUUUGUGAAGGGAGAUAAUCAGGCCCUUGAAAAAAGAUGGCAGGCCAAGAACUGAGGAGAGACCCAGUGUGUUAUCCUGUGGGAGGCCUUGGUCUCUGGACUGCAGAAGAAUUCAUAUCUAGCAUUCAAAGCUAAGGGGUGGGGGAGUCUGUAUUAUAAUUUCUUCUUCUAACCCUUACUUUUCAAUGGAGUAUUUGUUUUUAAUCAUGAGGCAUGAUCUAGGCUAUGCUCUGGGCCAAGUGGUAAAGAGUAUCAGAAACAGAGAUGGAGCAGGAGCUUCCGGAAGCCAAAGUCAAGAAGAUUGGAGCAUCCGUGAGGAACAGAACAGCUGACUGGGUCUCUGGUGCGGUAGCCCAUGGUUAGAAAUCUCACCGCCGAAAAUAUUCUGCCUCAGUUAACACUUGUCCUCUGCGAGCAAACAUUAAAUGGAAGUCACUGUACAUUAUCCCUGAGCAAAGCAAUGAGGAAAGUCCCCUCAGAGGCGGCAGGACUGGGCUCUGAGUAAGGGUGUUCCCUUUCCAACGGGCUGCCUUUCAGGACCACCCAGAGCCUGCCUUGUCAUCCCACAGCACCCCAGAAGGUCCCCUCUCACUGCAUUGGCCACUCGUUACUGUAACCGCCAUUUUAUUCCUGGAAAGGAAGAACCAAAGUGAGGGACGCUGUGAACAACAGACAGGCCUUGGUUGCUGAUGGGGUGACUGCAGAGAAACCGUCUUCUGCUCUUUGCUUCGCUGUUUUGCCUCCUUAUCUAGCCCCUCUCACUCCAUCUCAGUGAAAUCCGUCGUGAUCUCCUAGCUCAGAUUUCACAAGUCAACAAAAAAUUAGAACUACUUUAACGACAUUGGUUCUACCGUGCCAGGCCAUGGGCUAGAAGUUACAAGAGUAUGCAGUCUCUACUUGCUUUUUAUUGCAGAACAGCACAUUCCUGGAGCCCAUGUCAUAAAGCGGAUCACUGAAAAGCAAAUUACAUUUUCCCACAGGAACAAUGUUGUAAUUAGAGGCUGUAUUCCUGACAAAGGACUUGGCUUCAUGUAAAUAGUAGACAUGAACAAAAAUAUUUCACAAAAGCAAACAUUUGAGAACUAUAAAUCCUUAUAAUUGUUUAAAAUAAUAAAAUUUUCUUCAAGUAUUAUAAACCAGGCGGGAUUAGAGCGAGUACACACUGAUUAUUCGGGGACUCCAAUGUACCAUAAAGUGUACAUUAAAAUAUAACUACUGUGUCAUAAAUUAGAACCUGAAACUAACUUUAAUAUAGUCAUUACAUACUUAAUUAACAAUGGGAAGGCAGAGAAGUACCAUGAUCACGUGCAGCAUUGGGCGUUAGGAGAGCUAAACUACAGGCUCGCCCUCUAGACUGUGAGCUCUAUGAGGCUAGAGGCUGGGCCUGCCCGGAGUAGGUCAAAAUCAUAUUUACAAUGAACAGCCCAGCCCUGGGUUGUCACUUUGAGUAAGCAAAUCACUUUCUCUAGUUUCUGUCUCUUCAUAUGUAAAACAAGGAAGCUCAACUGUAAAGUCUCUAAGGUCCCCAGCAGCUCCAACAUUCUGGGACUGCCACUUUGGUCUCUUAGAAUUCAAAAGAGUUUCUGGGUGUAGUCAGCUGUGACUUCAGUGAACCUCAGUAUGACCCUCCAGUAUUUAUACACUCCUGUAGUCGCCAACCACAUUCUGGGCUUGGCCAUGUGAAUGGCUCUGGCUAGUGGGACUUUAGCAAGCCAGAUACAACAGAGGCUUAGUAAGCACUUGCAAACUGGGGCUUGUUCCCUUGGAAUAUUCCCUCUUGGAAUCCAGGUACCAUGCUGUGAGGAGCCCAAGACCCACGGAGAGGCCACGUGGAGGGAAACCAGGGCAUUCUGGUGGACUGUCCCACUGAGCUCCCAACCAACUGCCAGCACCCACUGCUAGUCAUGAGUAAGCAUCUUGGACAUUACAGCCCAGUUGAGCCCCCAGAUGACAGCAGCCCCAGCUGAUACCACGUGGAGCAAAAGAACCUCCCAACUGAGCCCAGGCAACCCAUAAAGUUGUGAAAGAUAAUACAACAAUUGCUGUUUUGAGGCACCAAGUUUUGGGGUGGUUCAUGGUGCAGCCAUAGCUAAUUGAAACUCUAGCACAUGGCUUAAAUGGCUCUGGACAUUGGUAAAAACAAACCAUCCAAAGAAGAUUGAAUAAUGUCUAUGUUUCUCCAUAUGAAUUUUCCUCUCCUGAGAAACAUUUAAAAUAUUCCAAUUAUCUUAAAAUAGACUCAAAAUACUGUAGUAGUGUUCAAUAAAUAUUUGUAGUAGAUAAAGAUGUUUCCUCUUCCUGAAAAAUAUUCUUCCUCUUUACCUUCUCUUGAGAAGGUAGAGUUGUUCAAAUGCAUAAUCAAAUAAAGGUCAC